This 1997-nucleotide ribosomal RNA is filed under the name human oral metagenome. Its description in RNAcentral is "bacterial LSU rRNA". It matches the Rfam family "Bacterial large subunit ribosomal RNA", at positions 1101 to 2925 of the family's 2925-position model. The record is from RNAcentral.
UUGGCUUAGAAGCAGCCAUCCUUGAAAGAGUGCGUAAUAGCUCACUGGUCAAGUGGUUCUGCGCCGACAAUGUAGCGGGGCUCAAGCGUACCGCCGAAGCUGUGGCAGCAACACGUGUGGCUGGCGCCAGUUUAUUGGUUGUUGGUGUGUUGUUGGGUAGGGGAGCGUCCUGCAUGAGGUGAAGCCUGGAGGUGACUUCUGGUGGAUUGUGUGGGAGUGAGAAUGCAGGCAUGAGUAACGAAUCUGCGGUGAGAAUCCGCAGCGCCGAUUGACUAAGGGUUCCAGGGCUAGGUUUAUCCGCCCUGGGUUAGUCGGGUCCUAAGGCGAGGCCGACAGGCGUAGUCGAUGGACAACCAGUUGAUAUUCUGGUACCGCGUUGUGACCGCCCAUGCUGAAGUCAUUGUGCUAACCAAUUUGCUCACCGCCUGCUGGGCCUUCGGGUUUGGUGGUGUGUGUGGGUCUUGGGGUCCCGGUGAUUGUAGGCAAGCGUGUUAACAGGGGUGACGCAGACAGGUAGCUGCAGUGCGCCGAUGGUUGUGCGUAUUUAAGGUUGUGGCCCGUCCCUCAGGUAAAUCCGGGGGGCACCCAGGGUGAGAACUGAUGAGGGUGACACGGAUUGUGUUGUCUUGUGGUGAUCCUAUGCUGCCAAGAAAAGCCUCGACGUGAGGGCAUGACGCGCCCGUACCCUAAACCGACUCAGGUGGUCAGGUAGAGUAUACCGAGGCGUUCGAGUGAAUCAUGGUUAAGGAACUCGGCAAAAUUCCUCCGUAACUUCGGGAUAAGGAGGACCCCUUGACUUCCCCGCGCCAUGCGCGCUGGUGGGGUUGGGGGGUCGCAGAGAAUAGGGAGAAGCGACUGUUUAUCAAAAACACAGGUGCGUGCGAAGCCGUAAGGCGAUGUAUACGCACUGACGCCUGCCCGGUGCUGGAAGGUUAAGAGGAACCGUCAACAUCCCUUUGGGGUGUGAAGCGGUGAAUUUAAGCCCCAGUAAACGGCGGUGGUAACUAUAACCAUCCUAAGGUAGCGAAAUUCCUUGUCGGGUAAGUUCCGACCUGCACGAAUGGCGUAACGACUUCUCCGCUGUCUCAACCGUGAACUCGGUGAAAUUGCAGUACGAGUAAAGAUGCUCGUUUCGCGCAGAAGGACGGAAAGACCCCGGGACCUUUACUAUAGCUUGGUAUUGGUGUUCGCUUGGACUUGUGUAGGAUAGGUGGGAGACUGUGAAGCUGCCGCGCCAGCGGUGGUGGAGUCGUCGUUGAAAUACCAUUCUGGUUCAAGCGGUCACCUUAACCUUGGCCCGUGAUCCGGGUUGGGGACAGUGCCUGGUGGGUAGUUUAACUGGGGCGGUUGCCUCCUAAAAUGUAACGGAGGCGCUCAAAGGUUCCCUCAGCCUGGUUGGUAAUCAGGUGGCGAGUGCAAGUGUACAAGGGAGCUUGACUGUGAGACCGACGGGUCGAGCAGGUGCGAAAGCAGGAACUAGUGAUCCGGCCAUGGCACGUGGGUGCGUGGUCGCUCAACGGAUAAAAGGUACCCCGGGGAUAACAGGCUGAUCUUGCCCAAGAGUCCAUAUCGACGGCAUGGUUUGGCACCUCGAUGUCGGCUCGUCGCAUCCUGGGGCUGGAGUCGGUCCCAAGGGUUGGGCUGUUCGCCCAUUAAAGCGGUACGCGAGCUGGGUUCAGAACGUCGUGAGACAGUUCGGUCCCUAUCCUCUGUGCGCGCAGGAAAUUUGAGAAGGGCCGUCCCUAGUACGAGAGGACCGGGAUGGACGAACCUCUGGUGUGCCAGUUGUACCGCCAGGUGCAUGGCUGGUUAGCUACGUUCGGAAGGGAUAACCGCUGAAAGCAUCUAAGCGGGAAGCCUGCUUCAAGAUGAGGUUUCCGCGCCCCCGAUUGUGGGGUGAGAGGCCCCCGCCAGACGAGCGGGUUGAUAGGCCAGAGGUGGAAGCACCGCGAGGUGCUCGUGAGCCGACUGGUACUAAUGGGCCGACACUAAACACA